GCUACUCCUGAUAGCUCAGUUGGUUAGAGCGUGGUGCUCAUAAUGCCAAAGUUGCAGGUUUGAUCCGUGUAUGGGCAGCG
This 80-nucleotide transfer RNA is filed under the name Podarcis lilfordi (Lilford's wall lizard). Its description in RNAcentral is "tRNA.Met". Lineage: Eukaryota; Metazoa; Chordata; Lepidosauria; Squamata; Lacertidae. The record is from RNAcentral.